AAUGGCGCCACUAGGGUUGUGA
Molecule: non-coding RNA, 22 nt
Filed under: Mus musculus (house mouse)
Lineage: Eukaryota; Metazoa; Chordata; Mammalia; Rodentia; Muridae
Also listed under: 1 other name
Source: RNAcentral